This is a long non-coding RNA of Cucurbita maxima (winter squash), 354 nucleotides long. RefSeq lists it as uncharacterized. NCBI's taxonomy places the organism in Eukaryota, Viridiplantae, Streptophyta, Magnoliopsida, Cucurbitales, Cucurbitaceae. The transcript has 2 exons. The record is from RefSeq and is a predicted model, not a curated record.
UAAUGAGUCUAUUUGUAGUGAUGAUUUAGAAAGAAAUUUUGGAGAUUUACUCGUUAGUGACAACGGCAAAGAAAUUGUUACGAGUAAAGAAGAGAUGAGCUUAAAGGAAGAAGGUUCUUCAUCAAUGCCAAAAGAAUGGAGGUAUGCCUUGUCUCAUCCCAAGGACUUGAUUCUUGGUGAUCUCGAACAAGGAUGCCGAAAAUGAUGAGUUUUGGAUUUUAGCCAUGCAAGAAGAGCUAAAUCAAUUUGAAAGGAACAAAGUUUGGGAAUUAGUCCAUAGGCCAUCUAAUACUUCUAUUAUUGGAACCAAAUGGGUUUUUAGAAAUAAAAUGGAUGAAAAUGGGAAUAUCAUUA